GAUGAAUGCUGGCGGCGUGCCUAAUACAUGCAAGUCGAGCGAACAGACGAGGAGCUUGCUCCUCUGAUGUUAGCGGCGGACGGGUGAGUAACACGUGGAUAACCUACCUAUAAGACUGGGAUAACUUCGGGAAACCGGAGCUAAUACCGGAUAACAUGUUGAACCGCAUGGUUCAACAGUGAAAGACGGUCUUGCUGUCACUUAUAGAUGGAUCCGCGCCGCAUUAGCUAGUUGGUAAGGUAACGGCUUACCAAGGCAACGAUGCGUAGCCGACCUGAGAGGGUGAUCGGCCACACUGGAACUGAGACACGGUCCAGACUCCUACGGGAGGCAGCAGUAGGGAAUCUUCCGCAAUGGGCGAAAGCCUGACGGAGCAACGCCGCGUGAGUGAAGAAGGUCUUCGGAUCGUAAAACUCUGUUAUUAGGGAAGAACAAAUGUGUAAGUAACUAUGCACGUCUUGACGGUACCUAAUCAGAAAGCCACGGCUAACUACGUG
This 497-nucleotide ribosomal RNA is filed under the name uncultured bacterium. Its description in RNAcentral is "partial 16S ribosomal RNA". It matches the Rfam family "Bacterial small subunit ribosomal RNA", at positions 28 to 507 of the family's 1533-position model. The record is from RNAcentral.